GGGCGAGUUGACAUUGUUUGAUAUCUACUCAUCGUGUUAGGGGGUCAUAAAGGGUAUACAUCAUAUAGUAAUAUAUAAAGUAUAUAAUAAUGGUUGUGUGGCGUUCUAAACUAGAUUUUAUGAAUUGUAAAUGGUUUUUCGUCUAAUCUAAAACAGCUGGGAUGUAAAAUAGUUAUCCCAUUCGGACUUGGUGUGUCAGUGUAAGAUCACCCUCUGGCCUCCGGCCAUCG
Molecule: long non-coding RNA, 230 nt
Filed under: Mytilus galloprovincialis (Mediterranean mussel)
Lineage: Eukaryota; Metazoa; Mollusca; Bivalvia; Mytilida; Mytilidae
Source: RNAcentral